GGGGGCUGGCGGCGUGCCUAUACAUGCAAGUCGAGCGAACUGAUUAGAAGCUUGCUUCUAUGACGUUAGCGGCGGACGGGUGAGUAACACGUGGGCAACCUGCCUGUAAGACUGGGAUAACUUCGGGAAACCGAAGCUAAUACCGGAUAGGAUCUUCUCCUUCAUGGGAGAUGAUUGAAAGAUGGUUUCGGCUAUCACUUACAGAUGGGCCCGCGGUGCAUUAGCUAGUUGGUGAGGUAACGGCUCACCAAGGCAACGAUGCAUAGCCGACCUGAGAGGGUGAUCGGCCACACUGGGACUGAGACACGGCCCAGACUCCUACGGGAGGCAGCAGUAGGGAAUCUUCCGCAAUGGACGAAAGUCUGACGGAGCAACGCCGCGUGAGUGAUGAAGGCUUUCGGGUCGUAAAACUCUGUUGUUAGGGAAGAACAAGUACAAGAGUAACUGCUCGUACCUUGACGGUACCUAACCAGAAAGCCACGGCUAACUACGUGCCAGCAGCCGCGGUAAUACGUAGGUGGCAAGCGUUAUCCGGAAUUAUUGGGCGUAAAGCGCGCGCAGGCGGUUUCUUAAGUCUGAUGUGAAAGCCCACGGCUCAACCGUGGAGGGUCAUUGGAAACUGGGGAACUUGAGUGCAGAAGAGAAAAGCGGAAUUCCACGUGUAGCGGUGAAAUGCGUAGAGAUGUGGAGGAACACCAGUGGCGAAAGGCGGCUUUUUGGUCUGUAACUGACGCUGAGGCGCGAAAGCGUGCG
This 753-nucleotide ribosomal RNA is filed under the name Priestia aryabhattai. Its description in RNAcentral is "bacterial SSU rRNA". It matches the Rfam family "Bacterial small subunit ribosomal RNA", at positions 31 to 765 of the family's 1533-position model. Lineage: Bacteria; Bacillati; Bacillota; Bacilli; Caryophanales; Bacillaceae. The record is from RNAcentral.